CCUACGGGUGGCAGCAGUGAGGAAUAUUGGUCAAUGGCCGUAAGGCUGAACCAGCGACGUAGCGUGAGUGAAGACUGCCCUAGGGGUUGUAAACCUCUUUUAUGCGGGGGUAAAUGUGUCCACGUGUGGAUGUUUGCAGGUACCGCAUGAAUAAGGACCGGCUAAUUCCGUGCCAGCAGCCGCGGUAAUACGGAGGGUCUGGGCGUUAUCCGGGUUUAUUGGGUUGAAAGGGUGCGUAGGCGGCCUUUUAAGUCCGCGGUGAAAGGCUGGGGCUCAACCAUAGAAUUGCGGUUGAAACGGGGAGGCUUGAGUGUGUUAGAGGCAGGCGGAAUGCCUGGUGUAGCGGUGAAAUGCUUAGAUAUCAGGAAGAACCCCGACGGCGAAGGCAGCCUGCUAAGCCAUGACUGACGCUGAGGCACGAAAGCGUGGGGAUCAAACAGGAUUAGAUACCCCAGUAGUC
Molecule: ribosomal RNA, 460 nt
Filed under: uncultured bacterium
Lineage: Bacteria
Description: partial 16S ribosomal RNA
Rfam family: Bacterial small subunit ribosomal RNA
Source: RNAcentral